This 890-nucleotide ribosomal RNA is filed under the name Staphylococcus sp. Pf12. Its description in RNAcentral is "bacterial SSU rRNA". It matches the Rfam family "Bacterial small subunit ribosomal RNA", at positions 45 to 919 of the family's 1533-position model. Lineage: Bacteria; Bacillati; Bacillota; Bacilli; Caryophanales; Staphylococcaceae. The record is from RNAcentral.
UGCUAUACAUGCAAGUCGAGCGAACAGAUAAGGAGCUUGCUCCUUUGAAGUUAGCGGCGGACGGGUGAGUAACACGUGGGUAACCUACCUAUAAGACUGGGAUAACUUCGGGAAACCGGAGCUAAUACCGGAUAACAUUUAGAACCGCAUGGUUCUAAAGUGAAAGAUGGUUUUGCUAUCACUUAUAGAUGGACCCGCGCCGUAUUAGCUAGUUGGUAAGGUAACGGCUUACCAAGGCGACGAUACGUAGCCGACCUGAGAGGGUGAUCGGCCACACUGGAACUGAGACACGGUCCAGACUCCUACGGGAGGCAGCAGUAGGGAAUCUUCCGCAAUGGGCGAAAGCCUGACGGAGCAACGCCGCGUGAGUGAUGAAGGGUUUCGGCUCGUAAAACUCUGUUAUUAGGGAAGAACAAAUGUGUAAGUAACUGUGCACAUCUUGACGGUACCUAAUCAGAAAGCCACGGCUAACUACGUGCCAGCAGCCGCGGUAAUACGUAGGUGGCAAGCGUUAUCCGGAAUUAUUGGGCGUAAAGCGCGCGUAGGCGGUUUCUUAAGUCUGAUGUGAAAGCCCACGGCUCAACCGUGGAGGGUCAUUGGAAACUGGGAAACUUGAGUGCAGAAGAGGAAAGUGGAAUUCCAUGUGUAGCGGUGAAAUGCGCAGAGAUAUGGAGGAACACCAGUGGCGAAGGCGACUUUCUGGUCUGUAACUGACGCUGAUGUGCGAAAGCGUGGGGAUCAAACAGGAUUAGAUACCCUGGUAGUCCACGCCGUAACGAUGAGUGCUAAGUGUUAGGGGGUUUCCGCCCCUUAGUGCUGCAGCUAACGCAUUAAGCACUCCGCCUGGGGAGUACGACCGCAAGGUUGAAACUCAAAGGAAUUGACGGGAC